Molecule: transfer-messenger RNA, 229 nt
Filed under: Alphaproteobacteria bacterium
Lineage: Bacteria; Pseudomonadati; Pseudomonadota; Alphaproteobacteria
Description: partial transfer-messenger RNA
Rfam family: Alphaproteobacteria transfer-messenger RNA
About the family: Bacterial tmRNA, also known as 10Sa RNA or SsrA, is named for its dual tRNA and mRNA-like properties. Its role is to liberate the mRNA from a stalled ribosome. To accomplish this part of the tmRNA is used as a reading frame that ends in a translation stop signal.
Source: RNAcentral
GGAAAUGGAAUUUUGGGGGCGAAAUAGGAUCGACGCAUGUGGUAAAGGCAUUAUUUUCGUUCGGUAUGGUACCCGCCGUUAUCGGGCCAUGUAGUAGUUGCAAACGACAACACUGCUCCGGUUGCUAUCGCUGCUUAAUGCAGCAGGCGUAACCACUUUAAAGUCCUGACGGAUUGAGCUCUGUCAGGCGGGGUUUGGGGCUGCACCUGGCAACAGAAGCGGUCCCGCU